UACGGGGGGGGCAAGCGUUGUUCGGAAUUACUGGGCGUAAAGGGCGCGUAGGCGGUUUGCUAAGUUGAAUGUGAAAACUCUGGGCUUAACCCAGAGCCUGCAUUCAAUACUGGCAGGCUAGAGUUCUGGAGGGGAUAGCGGAAUUCCUGGUGUAGCGGUGAAAUGCGUAGAUAUCAGGAGGAACACCGGUGGCGAAGGCGGGUCUCUGGGCCGUUACUGACGCUGAGGAGCGAAAGCGUGGGGAGCGAACAGG
This 253-nucleotide ribosomal RNA is filed under the name uncultured bacterium. RNAcentral describes it as "partial 16S ribosomal RNA". It matches the Rfam family "Bacterial small subunit ribosomal RNA", at positions 524 to 776 of the family's 1533-position model. The record is from RNAcentral.